Molecule: unclassified non-coding RNA, 1489 nt
Filed under: Daphnia magna
Lineage: Eukaryota; Metazoa; Arthropoda; Branchiopoda; Diplostraca; Daphniidae
Description: esterase OVCA2, transcript variant X2
Source: RNAcentral
ACUUUUUGCAUUUUCUGCUCGUUGAACAGACGCUGACAAUUACCUAAUUUCCCACGCAAAACGCAUUUGUUGUCCGAUCCAACCUCGACAAUGUCCAAAAAAUACAUCUUGACAUAAUUUCUUUUCUUCGUUGAGGGGUCAGUAAUCCCAGCGAGCCAACACAAAUUUCGACCAUGUUCAGGACGUAUGCAAAACAUUGCCAUUUUAAAUUUUGUACCGUUGUCGUAAAAAAAUUUUAAUUCGAAAUUAAUGUAAAAUGUUGCUGUCUGCUAUGGCAGACGAAGUUUCCCAUUGGAUUAUUGGAUGAGCUGUUUAUUUUCUGUUCUGCCAUGCGAAAGAUUCUGUGUUUACAUGGAUAUCGCCAAAGUGCACAAGUUUUCAAAGAUAAAACCGGCUCACUCAGAAAACUUCUGAAGAAGCAUGCAGAAUUAGUGUACAUUAGUGCACCUCAUCUUAUUCCAGCCAGUUCAGCCAUCCAAGAUGAAAGCAUGGAAACUUUACAGGCAGUUCCUGCAAAUGGAAAAGUUGAAGAGCAGAGAGGUUGGUAUUUCAGCACAGAACAGUUGACAUUCAAUUCACAUGAUGAAACAGACUUCAGCUGGGGACUGCAAGAGUCCAUUAAUGUUGUCAGUAAAGCAUUUGAAGAGCUCGGACCAUUUGAUGGAAUUUUGGGCUUCUCUCAAGGAGCUGCUCUUGGCUCAAUUCUAUGUUACAUGCUUGAAAAAGGAGAAUUAAAUUUUUCAUUUAGGUUUGCCAUUCUUGUGUCUGGUUUCCGUUCCAGAUUAAGCCCUCAUACAUACUUUUAUAAAACCAAACAAACCAUUGCCACUCUACAUGUAAUAGGAGAAACAGACAGAAUUGUGGAAAAAGAAAUGAGUGAGGAGUUGACUACCUAUUUUGAAUCACCUCACAUUAUGUGUCAUUCUGGAGGCCACUAUGUACCAGCAACAUCAAAGGAGAAGGAAGAUACUGUCACAUUCGUUAGACGUUUGCCUAAUCAAGAAGGAUGAUGAUUGUUAAGUGACCCUGAUAACACUACUGGACAUGUCUGAGGAUUUGAAGACUGACUAUUGGAAGUGGAGGACAAGAUGAAAAAUUUCGAAAACCCGCAUUGCGGCAUGGCUUUAUACAGCAUUUUACGGAACUCCUUGCUGCACAGGAAGUACAUGCAGAAAUUUAGUGCGAAGUUGCUCAUUUCCAACAAGUUUGCCACAGCGCGAAACACUUGAAAGCUGUGAAAUGAUUCCAGUUCUUGAUCGUAAAUAAUUGACAAAACUGCUGAUGGAAUAUUGGUUGCGAUUCGGGCGUCCACUACCUUGCAAGUCUGCAUUUGGUUGCCCUUGCCGCAUUUGCCUACGCGUUUUGACCACCCCAUGGUAUUUGAUCAAAAUUAACAUGUUGAGUGUAGCCAAAAUUAGACCGGGGAGAAAGCGGACUAGACUCUCUCCCAGCCAUACAUAUGCCGUCCAGAGGGGAUGAGCUGUCACAA